Paramuricea clavata is the source of this 3757-nucleotide non-coding RNA. The record is from the annotation of a GenBank genome assembly. NCBI's taxonomy places the organism in Eukaryota, Metazoa, Cnidaria, Anthozoa, Malacalcyonacea, Plexauridae.
CAGUAAACUACGUUUUAUAAAAUGCUUUCAUGUUUCAUAUACUGCUAGAUAAACAAAAUUGCUGACCACGGUACUAGUGUAAUUUAUUUGCUAAGUAAUCUAAAAGUCUAUAUAUUGUUUGCGUGAUUGAAUUUGGCCCAACGCGCCAGUCACUUCCUUCAAUUUGAGCUUGCAAUCCGCCAAUCCACAAGAUAGAAGAUUAAAGAAAAUCAUAUAGAAAAUAACUAUUGUAAGAGCAAUUAGUAAUUAAUAGACUACAUUCAUGCAUGUACUCGAUUAAAUCAUGUAGGCUAUUGUCCUGAAAGCCUUUCAGCCCGUUCUUUGUUAAUUAAUAUAGAAAACCAAAUAGAUGAAGAUGAACUCUUUGCUUUAACAGAAAGAGAAGACGUUCAGGACGAACGUCUUAUACUUGUGGUAGGUCAUAAAAUGAAAUUUUUUGUAGGCUCUGUUGGGGGAUUGUAAAAACAGGCUCUCGUCUUAGAGCCUGAUCGCAGGCUAAAUUCCAUAUUUAAUUUAAAAUUAAACUCCCAGCAAAAUAUACAAAAGGACUUGAGGUGAGUAUUUUACAUGUAUUAUCAUUGUAUUUUAUUAAUGUACUAUACCUUAGAAAGGUUGGGGUGAGGCAAACCCUUCGGCUUUGACAUUUUUCAUCACAUGAAUCAACAUUUUCAAAUUAAUAUAAUAAGGCACUUCAGUUCAGUAUUUUUAUGACUACAAACAAAUACUGUAAUGAAUUUGUAAAUUCGUUGUCCUCCCUGCCAAAGAUGGCUGAUGUUCUCCAGUUUCGAAGUUUGAACAACAUAUAUGUCUAUACUUUUGCACUCUGGUGUUGCUGUGCAAGUGUGGCGACAAGCCGCCUUUCGCCGGCACCCCUCUUUGGUGGCUGAUUAACAAAUUGGCCGCCUGAUAUUGGGGACUUGUAUAUAGACAUAUGUGUGCAUGACAUUAAAAAAAUGAAAGAUUUUUGGAAAUGAUUAAUUAACCUGGCAAUUUGAAAGAAAUAUAUAUUCUCCAGUUUCAAACAACAUAUAUGUCUAUACUUUUGCACUCUGGUGUUGCUGUGCAAGUGUGGCGACAAGCCGCCUUUCGCCGGCACCUCUCUUUGGUGGCUGAUUAACAAAUUGGCCGCCUGAUAUUGGGGACUUGUAUAUAGACAUAUGUGUGCAUGACAUUAAAAAAAUGAAAGAUUUUUGUAAAUGAUUAAUUAACCUGGCAAUUUGAAAGAAUUAUAUAUUCUCCAGUUUCGAACAACAUAUAUGUCUAUACUUUUGCACUCUGGUGUUGCUGUGCAAGUGUGGCGACAAGCCGCCUUUCGCCGGCACCCCUCUUUGGUGGCUGAUUAACAAAUUGGCCGCCUGAUAUUGGGGACUUGUAUAUAGACACAUGUGUGCAUGACAUUAAAAAAAUGAAAGAUUUUUGUAAAUGAUAAUUAACCUGGCAAUUUGAAAGAAUUAUAUAAUAUUCUCCAGUUUCGAACAACAUAUAUGUCUAUACUUUUGCACUCUGGUGUUGCUGUGCAAGUGUGGAGACAAGCCGCCUUUCGCCGGCACCCCUCUUUGGUGGCUGAUUAACAAAUUGGCCGCCUGAUAUUGGGGACUUGUAUAUAGACAUAUGUGUGCAUGACAUUAAAAAAAUGAAAGAUUUUUGGAAAUGAUUAAUUUACCUGGCAAUUUGAAAGAUUUAUAUAUUCUCCAGUUUAGAACAACAUAUAUGUCUAUACUUUUGCACUCUGGUGUUGCUGUGCAAGUGUGGCGACAAGCUGCCUUUCGCCGGCACCCCUCUUUGGUGGCUGAUUAACAAAUUGGCCGCCUGAUAUUGGGGACUUGUAUAUGGGCAUAUAUGUGCAUGACAUUAAAAAAAUGAAAGAUUUUUGGAAAUGAUUAAUUAAUCUGGCAAUUUGAAAGAAAUAUAUAUUCUCCAGUUUCGAACAACAUAUAUGUCUAUACUUUUGCACUCUGGUGUUGCUGUGCAAGUGUGGCGACAAGCUGCCUUUCGCCGGCACCCCUCUUUGGUGGCUGAUUAACAAAUUGGCCGCCUGAUAUUGGGGACUUGUAUAUGGGCAUAUAUGUGCAUGACAUUAAAAAAAUGAAAGAUUUUUGGAAAUGAUUAAUUAAUCUGGCAAUUUGAAAGAAAUAUAUAUUCUCCAGUUUCGAACAACAUAUAUGUCUAUACUUUUGCACUCUGGUGUUGCUGCGCAAGUGUGGCGACAAGCCGCCUUUCGCCGGCACCCCUCUUUGGUGGCUGAUUAACAAAUUGGCCGCCUGAUAUUGGGGACUUGUAUAUGGUCAUAUAUGUGCAUGACAUUAAAAAAAUGAAAGAUUUUUGGAAAUGAUUAAUUAACCUGGCAAUUUGAAAGAAUUAUAUAUUCUCCAGUUUCAAACAACAUAUAUGUCUAUACUUUUGCACUCUGGUGUUGCUGUGCAAGUGUGGCGACAAGCCGCCUUUCGCCGGCACCCCUCUUUGGUGGCUGAUUAACAAAUUGGCCGCCUGAUAUUGGGGACUUGUAUAUGGGCAUAUAUGUGCAUGACAUUAAAAAAUGAAAGCUUUUUGGAAAUGAUUAAUUAACCUGGCAAUUUGAAAGAAUUAUAUAUUCUCCAGUUUUGAACAACAUAUAUGUCUAUACUUUUGCACUCUGCAUGGUGUUGCUGUGCAAGUGUGGCGACAAGCCGCCUUUCGCCGGCACCCCUCUUUGGUGGCUGAUUAACAAAUUGGCCGCCUGAUAUUGCAUGGGGACUUGUAUAUAGACAUAUGUGCACGACAUUAAAAAAAUGAAAGUUUUUUUGAAAUGAUUGAUUAACCUGGCAAUUUGAAAGAAUUAUAUUCUCCAGUUUUGAGCAACAUAUAUGUCUAUACUUUUGCACUCUGGUGUUGCUGUGCGAGUGUGGCGAGAAGCCGCCUUUCGCCGGCACCCCUCUUUGGUGGCUGAUUUGCAUGGUGGGUGAUUAAUUGGGGACUACAGUUAUUGACAUAUAUGAAUAAUAUAAAAAUAUUUAAGUGUUUUAGAAAUGAUUAGGUAUAAAAACUCAUAUGAAACAUUAACCUGGAAAUUUGAAAGAAUAUUAUUCAGUCUAACUCUUAAAGUGGCAGUGUGUAUUUAUUUUAUUUAUUAUUUUAUAUUAUACUAUAUUGUUUAUUGUAUAUUAUACUAUAUGUGGUUUUGGCAUUUCCUUAUACUCAAAUAAUAACCAUGUGUAGUCCACUCUGCAAUAUUAAUGUAGUCCAUUCUGCAAUAUUAAUUUCUAAUUAUAUGUUCCUUCUAUUUAUGUAGGAAAGUUAAGAUGUAGACAGUUUCGUGUCAAGCAAAGAUCCAAAAGAAUUGCUAUUUCUUGUCUUGGUUGUCUGGCGACCGUUGAAUGCAAUUUUCCAAAUCUUUAUUGUCGCUGACUUGCUUACCAGUACUUUUUCGAGUUAAGACUUAAGGGUGGAAUUGUGGAACUGAUGGCAUGAACUCACAUUCUGAUUUCGAGAGGAAGUCAAUUAAUGAAAUUAGGAAUGACAUAUACUAGUAAUAUGAACUGAAUAAAAUCUGAACUCAGUAGGAGAGGGCAAUCUCUCUUGCACUGUAUAUACAGUAGGUAUCGUAUAUAGCUCAUUGCAGUAUUUGCAUCGGUUUGGUUCGAAUGUUGCAUCUUUACUCUGAACGGAGUGCAUGCGUACAACCAUGCAUGUAUUGUAGGUCAAAAUCACUUUGUUUGUUACUAACUGUAUAUGCUAAUAUAAUUUGUUCUAUAUAUUGGUAAAAUAUAUUAUUUUCACA